This 82-nucleotide ribosomal RNA is filed under the name uncultured Bacteroidota bacterium. RNAcentral's name for it is "uncultured Bacteroidetes bacterium partial 16S ribosomal RNA". Lineage: Bacteria; Pseudomonadati; Bacteroidota. The record is from RNAcentral.
UUCUCUUGGAUAGCCUUCCGAAAGGGAGAUUAAUACCGGAUGGUGUUCAAUUGCCUGCAUGUUAUUUGAACUAAAGAUUCAU